GACGAACGCUGGCGGCGUGCUUAACACAUGCAAGUCGAACGGUGAAGGGGCCUGCUUUUGUGGGCCCUGGAUGAGUGGCGUACGGGUGAGUAACACGUGAGUAACCUGCCCCCUUCUUCUGGAUAACCGCAUGAAAGUGUGGCUAAUACGGGAUAUUCUGGGUCUGUCGCAUGAUGGGUCUGGGAAAGAUUGCGCCUUUGGGUGUUUUUGGUGGGGGAUGGGCUCGCGGCCUAUCAGCUUGUUGGUGGGGUGAUGGCCUACCAAGGCGGUGACGGGUAGCCGGCCUGAGAGGGUGGACGGUCACACUGGGACUGAGACACGGCCCAGACUCCUACGGGAGGCAGCAGUGGGGAAUAUUGCACAAUGGGCGCAAGCCUGAUGCAGCGACGCCGCGUGAGGGAGGGAGGCCUUCGGGUUGUAAACCUCUUUCGCCAGUGAAGCAGGCCUGCUCCUUGUGGGUGGGUUGACGGUAGCUGGAGAAGAAGCGCCGGCUAACUACGUG
Molecule: ribosomal RNA, 502 nt
Filed under: uncultured bacterium
Lineage: Bacteria
Description: partial 16S ribosomal RNA
Rfam family: Bacterial small subunit ribosomal RNA
Source: RNAcentral